UAAAUAGGAUAAACAUUGUUUUCUUUUGUUCUGAAGUGAAAAUAUAGAUCAGACCCUUUUCUUCAGUUCACUGAGGUUUCCUCAAAUGGCUUGACACUACUGAAUUAACAAAGUUAGACUCUCCUCAAUUUUUUAAUGUAUUAAAAUAAAAGUCUCUUCCACUAAAACAUUCACUAGAAUUAUCAAAUCUUCACCAGUGAAGUGCAGUCAUUAGAUAGAUGGAUGGGUUUUUACUCCUCCUAUCAUUUUUAAUUGUCAUGGAAUUACAUUUAUCCUCCCUAAACCAGUACAAUGUAUGCUUUUCUUGGUUCAGUAGAAAGGGAUGCAUCCAAGGAAAGAUAAAUUAUUCCUUUAUCACCAAAACAUUUAUUAAAUGUCUAUAUUUUUAGGGGGCUGUGCUGAGUGUUAUAAAUGGGAAUUAAUUAGGCUAAAUUCCUGCCUCUAUCUCUAUUACAACAGAAGAUAGACAACAACGUUGCAGGAAUUUUAAGGCCAUUCAUUCAACAUGGGGAUGCGUUCAACAUGGGGAUGCAAACAGAUAAGUUUUUACCAUGAACAUUUGCAUCCUUGAGCACAGUAUAUUAGUGUACUGGGUGAAAAGGGUGAUGCAUGCCAUGUGAUUAAUUGCCUCUCACCAAACAUGGUAAGAAAGAUCCCUGCCAAAAUCCUAUGACUCGACAGAGUGCUGUCCAAAUGAGAUCAUGAUAAGAAGGAGUAGGCACAGUGGGUUUCUUUUUUAAUCAUCCAUAUCCAAUCUCAGAAAUUACUAAAAGAAAGGGAUUUCCAGCUUGCAUCUGCUUUAUACAUUUUAAAAAUCCUUUAUAUGCUGUGGGGAAAAAUGUUAAACAAGGAAUAAACUAGUUAUUGGCAAACAUCACAGAGAGGCACACUAGAGUAAUGGAAACGUCUCAUACACAUAGAAAUUUAAGCACAUGCUUAGAGAAUUAUACACAUUUUGUAUAUUACAUAUACUCAAUGCACUAACAUAUUAUUUACUCUACCUAUAUUCCCCAUCUCUACAUGGGAAGAUCUUAUUAAUCUUACCACAUCUCUCUCUCAAACUCAUUCCUUCUUCAUUUGUUUCAGGACAAUCAAAUUAACAUAAGUUGUGAAUCAUUUUGUUCUCGAUAAUUACAAUAACCUCCUAGUCAUUUUUUUGAUUUUCCAUUAUUGUCUUUCAUACAAUAUUGCUUCUGAGGAAGAAACUCACUUCAAAGCAAAAAAAGUACAAGAAUGGGCUCAUGCUCAUGGAUUUCACUGAUUUUACUAUGUACCCCACCAGUCUGAAGCAGCUGGCUUGAUAGAAUGAUGGAAUGUCCUUUUGAAGACUGAAUUACAGCACCAGCUAGGUAAUAAUACCUUUCAGGGCUGGAGCAAGAUUCUCCAGAAGGCUCUGAUUCAGCGUCAUUAUAUGGUACUGUUUCUCUGAUAGCUAGGAUAUAUAGGUCUAGGAGUCAAGGAGUGGAAAUGGGAGUGGCAUCACUCACAAUUACCCUUGGUGACCCGCUAGCAAAAUUUUGGUUCCUGUUUCUGCAGCUUUAAGUUCUGUCAGCCUAAAGGUCUUAGUUCCACAGAAACAAAUGCUUCUACCAGGAGACACAACAAUGAUUUCAUUGUAUUGGAAGUUAAGACUGCCACCUCGCCAUUUUGGGUUCCUCAUGCCUUUGAGUCAACAGGCAAGAAGAAAGUUGUGGUGUUGGCUGGGAUUAUUAAUCCUGAUCAUGAAGGGGAAAUUGAACUAAUCCUCCUCAAUAAAGGGAGAAACAAAAAUAAUGAAGGAUGAAAAUUUGGAGAGGCACUAUUUUCAGUAAUAGUCUUAUAAAUGAGUAAUAGCCAUUGGCAGUGGAGCAAGAUGGUGGAACAGAAGCCUACAACUUUUAUCCCCCUGUAGGAACACAAAAUUUUAACAACUACCUAAACAGAGGAAAGCACAGUCACAAGAAUUAAGAAUCAGACUGAUGCUCAUGGCUAUCUAAAGCCAUCCUCAUCAGCAGAGGAUCAAAACAAAUUGUAUCAGUACAGAAGGGAGGCACACCACAAAACUAAACCCCAUUUUUGACAGGCUUAUUUACUGCAAAAUAGGAUGAAAAUGCACUGCCAAACCCUUGUUGGAAACCUCACCCGUCUCUUGGAUUGCAGGAUGUCAUCCUCUCCUCCUGUCUGCCUGCCCCUUCUCAGUUUCCUUUACCGAGUUACUCUUCUCUGCUAUGCACUACAUGUAGAUGUUUCCCAGGGCUCUACCUGAUGAAUCAAAUUAUAUCUAUUGAGGUCUUCUAUUUAAAAGAAUUAAUUGGUAAGUUUCAACUUUCCACCCAACCAUCACUCAAUAUAUUUAGUUUAUA
This is a non-coding RNA of Macaca mulatta (Rhesus monkey), 2342 nucleotides long. NCBI's taxonomy places the organism in Eukaryota, Metazoa, Chordata, Mammalia, Primates, Cercopithecidae. The record is from RefSeq and is a predicted model, not a curated record.